This 309-nucleotide unclassified non-coding RNA is filed under the name Hevea brasiliensis (rubber tree). Lineage: Eukaryota; Viridiplantae; Streptophyta; Magnoliopsida; Malpighiales; Euphorbiaceae. The record is from RNAcentral.
GGACAGUGUCAGCACUCUAGCUGGAGAAGUAGAUAAACCUCAGAAAAGAGUAUUGAAGAACAAAGUCCAAUCUUUCUUCACACCUUUUUGGCCUAAACUGAGCCAUCUAUGGGGAUGAAUCUUGGGGAUUGCAAUGAGAGACAUGAUUAUGAAAGGAGAAAGAGAAACUAUACCAAGCACAACAGCAACAUAGCCAACUAUGGUUAAUCCAGUAUAGUUGACAAAAGAUAGAAUAAGUGUCGAAAUCAAAAUGGCAAUCUUUCGAGGCCAACCUGAAUCCAAUACAGGAAGUACCUUUUUCAUAUAAUC